AAAUAAUUUCCUAACGCGUUAAUAUUAUUUCAUUUUUAACGGGGAAAUUGUGAAUUUUUACCACCCAAGGCGGAGAGGACCUCGUUUAUUGAUUAUUUUAUGUGGCGGACAGCUGGCCUAACUGCUACACCGGCGCCCUCGUCGAUAGAGGGUUUGUCCUGGAGGGUUUGUCCAGAUUUGUCAUUCCUGUCAGUUGUCAGUCAUGGUGCCAGAGGAAUCGAAUCGUGGGAUAUGGAAUUAUUGAGAAAACAGCUUGGACGUUAGAUGGCGCUGUAGACAACAUUUUUUUUUGGUAACGUGGCAAGUGUAAUAUACAAGAUGUAGCAUAAUACCGACACUACAGGGUGUUAAAAUUUUAAUUAAAAGAAAUGUUUUAAGUU
This is a long non-coding RNA of Anthonomus grandis grandis, 380 nucleotides long. RefSeq lists it as uncharacterized. The transcript has 2 exons. NCBI's taxonomy places the organism in Eukaryota, Metazoa, Arthropoda, Insecta, Coleoptera, Curculionidae. The record is from RefSeq and is a predicted model, not a curated record.